This 548-nucleotide ribosomal RNA is filed under the name uncultured bacterium. RNAcentral describes it as "bacterial SSU rRNA". It matches the Rfam family "Bacterial small subunit ribosomal RNA", at positions 355 to 896 of the family's 1533-position model. The record is from RNAcentral.
UGGGGAAUUUUUCGCAAUGGGGGAAACCCUGACGAAGCAACGCCGCGUGGAGGAUGAAGGCCUUCGGGUCGUAAACUCCUGUCGACCGGGAAGAAUGCACCCGACCUAAUACAUCGAAGUGUUGACUGUACCGGUGGAGGAAGCCACGGCUAACUCUGUGCCAGCAGCCGCGGUAAGACAGUGGUGGCGAGCGUUGUUCGGAAUCACUGGGCUUAAAGGGCGCGUAGGUGGUAGGGUGAGUCCAGGGUGGAAUCCUAUGGCUUAACCAUAGAAUUGCCUUGGAGACUGCUUUACUUGAGUCAGUAAGGGGAGGGCAGAAUUCCUGGUGUAGCGGUGAAAUGCGUAGAUAUCAGGAGGAAGGCCGGUGGCGGAGGCGGCCCUCUGGUACUGGACUGACGCUGAGGCGCGAAAGCGUGGGGAGCGAACAGGAUUAGAUACCCUGGUAGUCCACGCCCUAAACGGUGGGCACUAGGUGUAGGGCUCGUAAGGGUUCUGUGCCGAAGGGAAACCAUUAAGUGCCCCGCCUGGGGAGUACGGCCGCAAGGCUG